RNAcentral lists this long non-coding RNA (801 nucleotides) under Mus caroli (Ryukyu mouse). Its description in RNAcentral is "lncRNA (MGP_CAROLIEiJ_G0013837.1)". The record is from RNAcentral. Lineage: Eukaryota; Metazoa; Chordata; Mammalia; Rodentia; Muridae.
GCCGAGGUCCUCUUCUAGGAUUGGUUGUCCACUCAUAACCAUAAGAUAAUUAAAACGGGGGGGGGCAGGGUAAAAAAAAAACCCUUUUAUCAGCCAUAGGUUAAUGCAAGUGUUUAACAGAUGCUUCGCUAUUAAAAUAUUUUCCCCCCAAUACUGAAGAAUCUUAAACCAGCAACCCUAACAGAGAUUGCGAAAGUUUUCAAAGUGGGGCACCUCGAUUUCUCGAAUCUGUGGUGUGGCGAAUAUCCGUGUACCUCCUGCUUAACUAGCCUGUUUGAAGGCACAGUUCAUUCUCGAGCAAUUCGUCACCUCCUGGGGGUCUUCUCUUCCCGUCUACAGGAGAGUGUGACUUCAGAAAGAACUUCGGAUUGGCCAAGGCAGGUCUGAUUCUAUUUAUUCUAAAGACAGAGUUGGAGAUGGGCUACCAUUGGUAUUGAUUGAGAUGACAAGCAGUCACCUGAACCCAUACAGCUGGGUUCGCAGAUGUGGCUAGUCUUGCUAGCCAGCUCGCUCUGUGGAAAUUCUAGGGAACUGACUGCAGUCCUCAUGCUUGGAGUCAAACACUUUAACCACUACGCAAGUUUAUGUAAUAGGAUUGACAUAUCAGAAUCACAGAAAGGAAUGAAAGAUUAGAGUGGGAGAAAGUGCUUGCUACCAAGCCUGAUGACCUAAAUUGAAUCCUGGAACCUACAGGACAAAAAGAGAGAGCUGACUGCUGAAAGAUGUCCUCAGAUCUUCACAUAUGCACAGUGGCACCUAUCCGACCAUGCACAUAGUAUAUUAAAAAUUAUUUUUAAAAAA